AAUAAGAUGCCUGAUAAAAAGGAUUAUCUUGAUAGGAUAAAACAUGUAAAAAUACUCUUAUUA
This 63-nucleotide transfer RNA is filed under the name unidentified. RNAcentral describes it as "Iphicrates gressitti tRNA-Ile". The record is from RNAcentral.